This 465-nucleotide ribosomal RNA is filed under the name Vreelandella stevensii. RNAcentral describes it as "partial 16S ribosomal RNA". It matches the Rfam family "Bacterial small subunit ribosomal RNA", at positions 338 to 795 of the family's 1533-position model. Lineage: Bacteria; Pseudomonadati; Pseudomonadota; Gammaproteobacteria; Oceanospirillales; Halomonadaceae. The record is from RNAcentral.
CCUACGGGUGGCAGCAGUGGGGAAUAUUGGACAAUGGGGGGAACCCUGAUCCAGCCAUGCCGCGUGUGUGAAGAAGGCCCUCGGGUUGCAAAGCACUUUCAGUGAGGAAGAACGCCUGGUGGUUAAUACCCAUCAGGAAAGACAUCACUCACAGAAGAAGCACCGGCUAACUCCGUGCCAGCAGCCGCGGUAAUACGGAGGGUGCGAGCGUUAAUCGGAAUUACUGGGCGUAAAGCGCGCGUAGGUGGCUUGAUAAGCCGGUUGUGAAAGCCCCGGGCUCAACCUGGGAACGGCAUCCGGAACUGUCAAGCUAGAGUGCAGGAGAGGAAGGUAGAAUUCCCGGUGUAGCGGUGAAAUGCGUAGAGAUCGGGAGGAAUACCAGUGGCGAAGGCGGCCUUCUGGACUGACACUGACACUGAGGUGCGAAAGCGUGGGUAGCAAACAGGAUUAGAUACCCUGGUAGUC